GCUUACCAUGCAAGUCGAGCGGUAAGGCUCCUUCGGGAGUACACGAGCGGCGAACGGGUGAGUAACACGUGAGCAACCUGCCCUUCUCAUCGGAAUAAGCGUUGGAAACGACGUCUAAUGCCGAAUACGACCUCAGAAGGCAUCUUCAGAGGUGGAAAGCUCCGGCGGAGAAGGAUGGGCUCGCGGCCUAUCAGCUUGUUGGUGGGGUAACGGCCCACCAAGGCGACGACGGGUAGCCGGCCUGAGAGGGUGACCGGCCACACUGGGACUGAGACACGGCCCAGACUCCUACGGGAGGCAGCAGUGGGGAAUAUUGGACAAUGGGCGAAAGCCUGAUCCAGCAACGCCGCGUGAGGGAUGACGCCUUCGGGUUGUAAACCUCUUUCAGCACCGACGAAGCGAAAGGACGGUAGGUGCAGAAGAAGGACCGGCCACUACGUGCCAGCAGCCGCGGUAAUACGUAGGGUCCGAGCGUUGUCCGGAAUUAUUGGGCGUAAAGGGCUCGUAGGCGGUUUGUCGCGUCGGGAGUGAAAACUCAGGGCUCAACCCUGAGCGUGCUUCCGAUACGGGCAGACUAGAGGUAUGCAGGGGAGAACGGAAUUCCUGGUGUAGCGGUGGAAUGCGCAGAUAUCAGGAGGAACACCGGUGGCGAAGGCGGUUCUCUGGGCAUUACCUGACGCUGAGGAGCGAAAGCAUGGGGAGCGAACAGGAUUAGAUACCCUGGUAGUCCAUGCCGUAAACGUUGGGCGCUAGGUGUGGGGACCUUCCACGGUCUCCGUGCCGCAGCUAACGCAUUAAGCGCCCCGCCUGGGGAGUACGGCCGCAAGGCUAAAACUCAAAGGAAUUGACGGGGGCCCGCACAAGCGGCGGAGCAUGCUGAUUAUUCGAUGCAACGCGAAGAACCUUACCUGGGUUUGACAUAUACCGGAAAGCUGCAGAGAUGUAGCCCCCCUUGUGGUCGGUAUACAGGUGGUGCAUGGCUGUCGUCAGCUCGUGUCGUGAGAUGUUGGGUUAAGUCCCGCACGAGCGCACCCUCGUCCUAUGUUGCCAGCACGUAAAGGUGGGGACUCAUAGGAGACUGCCGGGGUCAACUCGGAGGAAGGUGGGGAUGACGUCAAGUCUUCAUGCCCCUUAUGUCCAGGGCUUCAAGCAUGCUACAAUGGCCGGUACAAAGGGCUGCGAAACCGCGAGGUGGAGCGAAUCCCAAAAAGCCGGUCUCAGUUCGGAUUGGGGUCUGCAACUCGACCCCAUGAAGUCGGAGUCGCUAGUAAUCGCAGAUCAGCAACGCUGCGGUGAAUACGUUCCCGGGCCUUGUACACACCGCC
This 1325-nucleotide ribosomal RNA is filed under the name Aeromicrobium sp. RNAcentral's name for it is "bacterial SSU rRNA". It matches the Rfam family "Bacterial small subunit ribosomal RNA", at positions 46 to 1394 of the family's 1533-position model. The record is from RNAcentral. Lineage: Bacteria; Bacillati; Actinomycetota; Actinomycetes; Propionibacteriales; Nocardioidaceae.